GAGUUUGAUCAUGGCUCAGAACGUACGCUGGCGGCACGCCUAACACAUGCAAGUCGAACGAAGUAGCAAUACUUAGUGGCAGACGGGUGAGUAACAUGUAGGUAUCUGCCCUUUGGCCUGGAAUAACACGAGGAAACUUGUGCUAGUACCGGAUAAGUCUUUACGGAGAAAGCUUUAUGCACCAUCGGAUGAGCCUGCACUUGAUUAGUUUGUUGGUGGGGUAAUGGCCUACCAAGACUGUGAUCAAUAGCUGAUUUGAGAGGAUGAUCAGCCACAUUGGGACUGAGACACGGCCCAAACUCCUACGGGAGGCAGCAGUGGGGAAUCUUGCACAAUGGAGGAAACUCUGAUGCAGCGAUGCCGCGUGAGUGAAGAAGGCCUUUGGGUUGUAAAGCUCUUUCGUCGGGGAAGAAAAUGACUGUACCCGAAUAAGAAGGUCCGGCUAACUUCGUGCCAGCAGCCGCGGUAAUACGAAGGGACCUAGCGUAGUUCGGAAUUACUGGGCUUAAAGAGUUCGUAGGUGGUUGAAAAAGUUAGUGGUGAAAUCCCAGAGCUUAACUCUGGAACUGCCAUUAAAACUUUUCAGCUAGAGUAUGAUAGAGGAAAGCAGAAUUUCUAGUGUAGAGGUGAAAUUCGUAGAUAUUAGAAAGAAUACCAAUUGCGAAGGCAGCUUUCUGGAUCAUUACUGACACUGAGGAACGAAAGCAUGGGUAGCGAAGAGGAUUAGAUACCCUCGUAGUCCAUGCCGUAAACGACGUGUGUUAGACGUUGGAAAUUUAUUUUCAGUGUCGCAGGGAAACCGAUAAACACACCGCCUGGGGAGUACGACCGCAAGGUUAAAACUCAAAUGAAUUGACGGGGACCCGCACAAGUAGUGGAGCAUGUGGUUUAAUUCGAAGAUACGCGCAGAACCUUACCAACACUUGACAUGUUCGUCGCGACUCUAAGAGAUUAGAGUUUUCGGUUCGGCCGGACGAAACACAGGUGCUGCAUGGCUGUCGUCAGCUCGUGUCGUGAGAUGUUGGGUUAAGUCCCGCAACGAGCGCAACCCUCACUUUUAGUUGCCAUCAUUAAGUUGGGCACUCUGAAAGAACUGCCAGUGAUAAGCUGGAGGAAGGUGGGGAUGACGUCAAGUCCUCAUGGCCCUUACGUGUUGGGCUACACACGUGCUACAAUGGUAUCUACAACAGGAAGCAAGACUGCGAAGUUAAGCAAAUCCCUAAAAGAUACCUCAGUUCGGAUUGCACUCUGCAACUCGAGUGCAUGAAGCUGGAAUUACUAGUAAUCGUGGAUCAGCGUGCCACGGUGAAUGCGUUCCCGGGUCUUGUACACACCGCCCGUCACACCAUGGGAGUUGGUUCUACCUUAAGGCAAGGUUUCAAACCCUUGACCACGGUAUAGUCAGCGACUGGGGUGAAGUCGUAACAAGGUAACC
RNAcentral lists this ribosomal RNA (1435 nucleotides) under uncultured marine bacterium. Its description in RNAcentral is "bacterial SSU rRNA". It matches the Rfam family "Bacterial small subunit ribosomal RNA". The record is from RNAcentral.